RNAcentral lists this transfer RNA (76 nucleotides) under Caudoviricetes sp. Its description in RNAcentral is "tRNA-Lys". It matches the Rfam family "tRNA". From Rfam's summary of the family: Transfer RNA (tRNA) molecules are approximately 80 nucleotides in length. Their secondary structure includes four short double-helical elements and three loops (D, anti-codon, and T loops). The record is from RNAcentral. Lineage: Duplodnaviria; Heunggongvirae; Uroviricota; Caudoviricetes.
GCGCCAGUAGCUCAGUCGGUAGAGUAUCUGCCUUUUAAGCAGAGAGUCGUGGGUUCAAGUCCCGCCUGGCGCACCA